GCUGGGCAUGGUGGCUCACGCCUGUAAUCCAAGAACCUUGGGAGGCUGAGGCAGGUGGAUCACCUGAGGUCAGGAGUUCGAGACCAGCCUGGCCAACAUGGUGAAACCCUGUCUCUA
This is an unclassified non-coding RNA of Macaca fascicularis (crab-eating macaque), 117 nucleotides long. It matches the Rfam family "Metazoan signal recognition particle RNA". Rfam says of the family: The signal recognition particle (SRP) is a universally conserved ribonucleoprotein. Lineage: Eukaryota; Metazoa; Chordata; Mammalia; Primates; Cercopithecidae. The record is from Ensembl.